RNAcentral lists this ribosomal RNA (870 nucleotides) under uncultured bacterium. RNAcentral describes it as "bacterial SSU rRNA". It matches the Rfam family "Bacterial small subunit ribosomal RNA", at positions 28 to 878 of the family's 1533-position model. The record is from RNAcentral.
GACGAACGCUGGCGGCAUGCCUAAUACAUGCAAGUCGAACGCUGAACCCCGUGCUUGCACGGGGGAAGGAGUGGCGAACGGGUGAGUAACACGUGGGAAACCUGCCCAUGAGAGGGGGAUAACAUCCGGAAACGGGUGCUAAUACCGCAUACGUACUGAAACCGCCUGGUUUCAGUAUAAAAGAUGGCCUUGGUGCUAUCGCUCAUGGAUGGUCCCGCGGCGUAUUAGCUAGUUGGUAGGGUAAGAGCCUACCAAGGCGAUGAUACGUAGCCGACCUGAGAGGGUGAUCGGCCACAUUGGGACUGAGACACGGCCCAGACUCCUACGGGAGGCAGCAGUAGGGAAUCUUCCACAAUGGGUGCAAACCUGAUGGAGCAAUGCCGCGUGAGUGAAGAAGGUCUUCGGAUCGUAAAGCUCUGUUGUGAGAGAAGAACGGGUUGGGGAGGAACUGCCCUGACCGUGACGGUACCUCACCAGAAAGUCACGGCUAACUACGUGCCAGCAGCCGCGGUAAUACGUAGGUGACAAGCGUUGUCCGGAAUUAUUGGGCGUAAAGCGAGCGCAGGCGGUCUUUUAAGUCUGAUGUGAAAGCCCACGGCUCAACCGUGGAGGGUCAUUGGAAACUGAGAGACUGGAAUGCAGAAGAGGAAAGCGGAAUUCCAUGUGUAGCGGUGAAAUGCGUAGAUAUAUGGAGGAACACCAGUGGCGAAAGCGGCUUUCUGGUCUGUGAUUGACGCUGAGGCUCGAAAGCGUGGGGAGCGAACAGGAUUAGAUACCCUGGUAGUCCACGCCGUAAACGAUGAGUGCUAAGUGUUGGAGGGUUUCCGCCCUUCAGUGCUGGAGCAAACGCAUUAAGCACUCCGCCUGGGG